RNAcentral lists this ribosomal RNA (252 nucleotides) under uncultured bacterium. RNAcentral's name for it is "partial 16S ribosomal RNA". It matches the Rfam family "Bacterial small subunit ribosomal RNA", at positions 524 to 776 of the family's 1533-position model. The record is from RNAcentral.
UACAGAGGGUGCAAGCGUUAAUCGGAAUUACUGGGCGUAAAGCGUGCGUAGACGGUUAUGUAAGUUAGGUGUGAAAGCCCCGGGCUCAACCUGGGAAUUGCAUUUAAGACUGCAUAGCUAGGGUGCGGAAGAGGGAAGCGGAAUUUCCGGUGUAGCGGUGAAAUGCGUAGAUAUCGGAAGGAACACCAGUGGCGAAAGCGGCUUCCUGGUCCAGCACCGACGUCAGGCACGAAAGCGUGGGGAGCAAACAGG